CCUACGGGCGGCAGCAGUGAGGAAUAUUGGUCAAUGGACGAGAGUCUGAACCAGCCAAGUAGCGUGAAGGAUGACUGCCCUAUGGGUUGUAAACUUCUUUUAUAUGGGAAUAAAAUGUUCCACGUGUGGGAUUUUGUAUGUACCAUAUGAAUAAGGAUCGGCUAACUCCGUGCCAGCAGCCGCGGUAAUACGGAGGAUCCGAGCGUUAUCCGGAUUUAUUGGGUUUAAAGGGAGCGUAGGUGGAUUGUUAAGUCAGUUGUGAAAGUUUGCGGCUCAACCGUAAAAUUGCAGUUGAAACUGGCAGUCUUGAGUACAGUAGAGGUGGGCGGAAUUCGUGGUGUAGCGGUGAAAUGCUUAGAUAUCACGAAGAACUCCGAUUGCGAAGGCAGUUCACUGGACUGCAACUGACACUGAGGCUCGAAAGUGUGGGUAUCAAACAGGAUUAGAUACCCCUGUAGC
Molecule: ribosomal RNA, 459 nt
Filed under: uncultured bacterium
Lineage: Bacteria
Description: partial 16S ribosomal RNA
Rfam family: Bacterial small subunit ribosomal RNA
Source: RNAcentral